This 490-nucleotide ribosomal RNA is filed under the name uncultured bacterium. RNAcentral describes it as "partial 16S ribosomal RNA". It matches the Rfam family "Bacterial small subunit ribosomal RNA", at positions 28 to 507 of the family's 1533-position model. The record is from RNAcentral.
GUUGAACGCUGGCGGCAUGCUUUACACAUGCAAGUCGGACGGCAGCGCAGAGAGGCUUGCUUCUUGGCUGGCGAGUGGCGCGCGUGAGAGUCAUAUAUCGGACCGUACCGAGUGAUGGGGAAUAACUCAUCGAAAGAUUACCUAAUACGGCAUAUUUACUGAGGAGGAUAGCACAGGAGCUUAGGGCCGUGCGGUAGUCGCGUAGACCUUGUCUGAUUAGCUAGUUGGUGGGGUAAAGGCCUACCAAGGCGACGAGCAGUAGCGGGUCUGAGAGGAUGAUCCGCCACACUGGAACUGAGACACGGCCCAGACUCCUACGGGAGGCAGCAGUAGGGAAUUUUGGACAAUGGGCGAAAGCCUGAUGGAGCAACGCCGCGUGAGUGAAGAAGGCCUUCGGGUUGUAAAGGACUGUUGUCAGGGAAGAAAAAGUUUUUGCUUAUACCGACAGGUGAUGACGGUACCUAAAGAAUAAGCACCGGCUAACUACGUG